AAUAGAUACCCAGGUAGUCCACGCCCUAAACGAUGUCGACUGGUUGUUGGGGGUUUGACACUCUCAGUAACGAAGCUAACGCGUGAAGUCGACCGCCUGGGGAGUACGGCCGCAAGGUUAAAACUCAAAGGAAUUGACGGGGACCCGCACAAGCGGUGGAUUAUGUGGAUUAAUUCGAUGCAACGCGAAAAACCUUACCUACCCUUGACAUGUCCGGAAGGCUGCUGAAAGGCGGCUGUGCCCGAAAGGGAACUGGAACACAGGUGCUGCAUGGCUGUCGUCAGCUCGUGUCGUGAGAUGUUGGGUUAAGUCCCGCAACGAGCGCAACCCUUGUCAUUAGUUGCUACAUUCAGUUGGGCACUCUAAUGAGACUGCCGGUGACAAACCGGAGGAAGGUGGGGAUGACGUCAAGUCCUCAUGGCCCUUAUGGGUAGGGCUUCACACGUAAUACAAUGGCGCGUACAGAGGGCUGCUAAGCCGCAAGGUAGAGCCAAUCCCUUAAAGCGCGUCGUAGUCCGGAUUGCAGUCUGCAACUCGA
RNAcentral lists this ribosomal RNA (538 nucleotides) under uncultured bacterium. RNAcentral describes it as "bacterial SSU rRNA". It matches the Rfam family "Bacterial small subunit ribosomal RNA", at positions 777 to 1315 of the family's 1533-position model. The record is from RNAcentral.